UAUUAUACUAACAAAUAAAACUAACCUGAAUUAUUAAUAGAUAUAUUCUUUAAAUUUGAAGAAUUUGGCGGUAAUUUAGUCUUGUUAGAGGAACCUGUUUUUGAAUCGAUACACCACGUGGAAUCUUACUCAUUUUAUUUAGUCUAUAUACCGUCAUUAUCAGAUAAUUUUUGAAAAAUUAAUUGUUAAAGUUUAAAGUAAAAUUAAGGUAAAUUAGAUCAAGGUGUAGCUUAUAAGUGAGUUAAAAUGGGUUACAAUAAAAUUUAUUUAUACGGAGUGGUUGUUGGAAGGACACCAUAAAGGGGGAUUUAAUUGUAGUGUAAAUUUAAUAAGUUUUAAAGAUAUAAUGAGCUCUAAAUUAU
This 362-nucleotide ribosomal RNA is filed under the name Etisus sp. BPT-2009. RNAcentral describes it as "partial 12S ribosomal RNA". Lineage: Eukaryota; Metazoa; Arthropoda; Malacostraca; Decapoda; Xanthidae. RNAcentral also lists the same sequence under 1 other name. The record is from RNAcentral.